UUCAAUUAUUAACUGAAAAUU
RNAcentral lists this non-coding RNA (21 nucleotides) under Caenorhabditis elegans. Lineage: Eukaryota; Metazoa; Nematoda; Chromadorea; Rhabditida; Rhabditidae. The record is from RNAcentral.